Molecule: ribosomal RNA, 337 nt
Filed under: uncultured microorganism
Description: bacterial SSU rRNA
Rfam family: Archaeal small subunit ribosomal RNA
Source: RNAcentral
GUGCAGCAGGCGAGAAACCUUCGCAAUGCAGGAAACUGCGACGAGGGAACUCCAAGUGCCUACGCUCAGCGUAGGCUGUUCUCAAGCCUAGAAAGCUUGAGGAGUAAGGGCUGGGUAAGACGGGUGCCAUCUGUGGUAGCAGUCAAUAGAUUCGAUUUGUUACUGCAAGGCAUAAGCCGCCGCGGUAAUACCCCGCAGCCCCAAGUGGUGGCCGCUUUUAUGGGCCUAAAGCGUCCGUAGCCGGCCCGGUAAAUGCCUGGGUAAAUCGUGGAGCCCAACUUCACGAAUUCCGGGUAGACUGCCGAGCUCGGGACCGGAAGAGGGAGAGGGGUACUUC